Molecule: long non-coding RNA, 846 nt
Filed under: Numida meleagris (helmeted guineafowl)
Lineage: Eukaryota; Metazoa; Chordata; Aves; Galliformes; Numididae
Description: lncRNA (ENSNMEG00000010951.1)
Source: RNAcentral
UUCAGAAUGUAUCUUUUCCAGUGAGGAACAGGACUAAGUCGUGCUCCUAGAAGUUGCCCCAGCCAAAGGCAGAGCUCACAUGUGAAGCUACUUUGCCUGAUUGGAUGGGGAGUCAGAAGAACUACAGCAGGAGCAGGAGUUAUCCUAGGGAAAAGUCCGGACGUUUUCUCCAAAUCCUCAUUUUUGAUCUGUCUGUAGUAUAUUUUGACAUGUGAUUGAUCAGAUUUUUAAUCUAACUCGUACAGUUACAGCACAAACUUAAUAGAUCCCAGAGACUGUCCAUAGGAAUAAAACCUUCCCUGAACUUGGUGCUGUCCUGUGCCUCAGUUAGGUACGUGUUUUCACCAAUGUCUCCAUAAUUUCUCCCUCGUGUGAACCUUCAAGUAUUGCAGGUGAAUUGCACCGGUGACGGUGAUCCUCAAAGGAAGCAUUUGUUUCCCACAUCCCAUUGGGGUGUUUUAUGGGAGCCGAGAGGACAGACUCCCGGGAAACUGGCUGCACGCUGUCAGAGAACAUGGAGCACAGGGCGCAUGAGAUAAGAACUGGAUGUCAUCUUCCAAGAAGAACUGAGUAAUCAUCUCAGUGAUACUGCCAGCAACUUGCUUCCUUUUGAUGCGGCUAUAACGUUACUGGAGGAUUAUUCACAUCACUGUGACUGCCGGGACUCUGGGAUCUUGAUGACAGUUCCUUUCACUGUUCGUUUAUUUCUCUUCCAUUUAUUUGGAAGAGUGCAUAUUUUUUAGUGUGUUUAAAGGAGUCCUUCUCGUGUUUUUCCUUCCAAUUCUCUCUCAAAGAAGCAAAACUGAAAAGAGCAGAGUCUUGACAGUAUUUUGGCUCAGAUCUUUG